Molecule: ribosomal RNA, 232 nt
Filed under: uncultured bacterium
Lineage: Bacteria
Description: partial 16S ribosomal RNA
Rfam family: Bacterial small subunit ribosomal RNA
Source: RNAcentral
UGAGCAAUCUGCCCUUCUCUUUGGAAUAAGCGUUGGAACGACGUCUAAUGCCGAAUACGACCUCCUUUCGCAUGAUCGGAGGUGGAAAGCUCCGGCGGAGAAGGAUGAGCUCGCGGCCUAUCAGCUAGUUGGUGUGGGUAAUGGCCCACCAAGGCGACGACGGGUAGCCGGCCUGAGAGGGUGACCGGCCACACUGGGACUGAGACACGGCCCAGACUCCUACGGGAGGNAG